UGGGGAAUUUUGGACAAUGGGCGAAAGCCUGAUCCAGCAAUGCCGCGUGUGUGAAGAAGGCCUUCGGGUUGUAAAGCACUUUUGUCCGGAAAGAAAUCCUUGGCUCUAAUACAGUCGGGGGAUGACGGUACCGGAAGAAUAAGCACCGGCUAACUACGUGCCAGCAGCCGCGGUAAUACGUAGGGUGCAAGCGUUAAUCGGAAUUACUGGGCGUAAAGCGUGCGCAGGCGGUUUGCUAAGACCGAUGUGAAAUCCCCGGGCUAACCUGGGAACUGCAUUGGUGACUGGCAGGCUAGAGUAUGGCAGAGGGGGGUAGAAUUCCACGUGUAGCAGUGAAAUGCGUAGAGAUGUGGAGGAAUACCGAUGGCGAAGGCAGCCCCCUGGGCCAAUACUGACGCUCAUGCACGAAAGCGUGGGGAGCAAACAGGAUUAGAUACCCUGGUAGUCCACGCCCUAAACGAUGUCAACUAGUUGUUGGGGAUUCAUUUCCUUAGUAACGUACUAACGCGUGAAGUUGACCGCCUGGGGAGUACGGUCG
Molecule: ribosomal RNA, 538 nt
Filed under: uncultured bacterium
Lineage: Bacteria
Description: partial 16S ribosomal RNA
Rfam family: Bacterial small subunit ribosomal RNA
Source: RNAcentral